GAUGAACGCUGGCGGCGUGCCUAAUACAUGCAAGUCGAGCGAACGGACGAGAAGCUUGCUUCUCUGAUGUUAGCGGCGGACGGGUGAGUAACACGUGGAUAACCUACCUAUAAGACUGGGAUAACUUCGGGAAACCGUAGCUAAUACCGGAUAAUAUUUUGAACCGCAUGGUUCAAAAGUGAAAGACGGUCUUGCUGUCACUUAUAGAUGGAUCCGCGCUGCAUUAGCUAGUUGGUAAGGUAACGGCUUACCAAGGCAACGAUGCAUAGCCGACCUGAGAGGGGGUGCGGCCACACUGGAACUGAGACACGGCCCAGCCUCCUACGGGGGGCAGCAGUAGGGAAUCUUCCGCAAUGGGCGAAAGCCGGACGGGGCAACGCCGGGUGGGUGAUGAAGGUCUUCGGAUCGUAAAACUCUUUUAUUAGGGAAAAAAAUAUGUGUAAGUAACUGGGCACAUCUUGACGGUACCUAAUCAAAAAGCCACGGCUAACUACGG
This 496-nucleotide ribosomal RNA is filed under the name uncultured bacterium. RNAcentral describes it as "partial 16S ribosomal RNA". It matches the Rfam family "Bacterial small subunit ribosomal RNA", at positions 28 to 506 of the family's 1533-position model. The record is from RNAcentral.